GACGAACGCUGGCGGCGUGCCUAAUACAUGCAAGUUGAGCGCUGAAGGUUGGUACUUGUCCCAACUGGAUGAGCAGCGAACGGGUGAGUAACGCGUGGGGAAUCUGCCUUUGAGCGGGGGACAACAUUUGGAAACGAAUGCUAAUACCGCAAAAAAACCUUAAACACAAAGUUUAAGUUUGAAAGAUGCAAAUGCAUUACUCAAAGAAGAUCCCGCUUUGUAUCAGGUAGUUGGUGAGGUAAAGGCUCACCAAGGCGAUGAUACAUAGCCGACCUGAGAGGGUGAUCGGCCACAUUGGGACUGAGACACGGCCCAAACUCCUACGGGAGGCAGCAGUAGGGAAUCUUCGGCAAUGGACGAAAGUCUGACCGAGCAACGCCGCGUGAGUGAAGAAGGUUUUCGGAUCGUAAAACUCUGUUGGUAGAGAAGAACGUUGGUGAGAGUGGAAAGCUCAUCAAGUGACGGUAACUACCCAGAAAGGGACGGCUAACUACGUG
RNAcentral lists this ribosomal RNA (497 nucleotides) under uncultured bacterium. Its description in RNAcentral is "partial 16S ribosomal RNA". It matches the Rfam family "Bacterial small subunit ribosomal RNA", at positions 28 to 507 of the family's 1533-position model. The record is from RNAcentral.